CCUACGGGAGGCAGCAGUGGGGAAUUUUGGACAAUGGGCGAAAGCCUGAUCCAGCAAUGCCGCGUGAGUGAAGAAGGCCUUCGGGUUGUAAAGCUCUUUUGUCAGGGAAGAAACGGUGAAAGCUAAUAUCUUUUGCUAAUGACGGUACCUGAAGAAUAAGCACCGGCUAACUACGUGCCAGCAGCCGCGGUAAUACGUAGGGUGCAAGCGUUAAUCGGAAUUACUGGGCGUAAAGCGUGCGCAGGCGGUUUUGUAAGUCUGAUGUGAAAUCCCCGGGCUCAACCUGGGAAUUGCAUUGGAGACUGCAAGGCUAGAAUCUGGCAGAGGGGGGUAGAAUUCCACGUGUAGCAGUGAAAUGCGUAGAUGUGGAGGAACACCGAUGGCGAAGGCAGCCCCCUGGGUCAAGAUUGACGCUCAUGCACGAAAGCGUGGGGAGCAAACAGGAUUAGAUACCCUGGUAGUCCACGCCCUAAACGAUGUCUACUAGUUGUCGGGUCUUAAUUGACUUGGUAACGCAGCUAACGCGUGAAGUAGACCGCCUGGGGAUACGGUGCAAGNUUAAACUUAAUGAAUUGACCGGNNGAGAGAGCGAGACGACGACGAGGGAGGAGG
Molecule: ribosomal RNA, 612 nt
Filed under: uncultured bacterium
Lineage: Bacteria
Description: bacterial SSU rRNA
Rfam family: Bacterial small subunit ribosomal RNA
Source: RNAcentral